UGGAUCACCUCCUAACAGGGAGACAACACAAAGAUUUUGAUGUCUGAGUAAUUUAUUCUUAGGCCGAAAUCCUGUCACCUUAGGUCGAUCGGUACCUCAGCGUUGAAGCAACAGAGUUAACAGAGAUGUUGAUGCGUGUUGUGGAGAUGAUCAGUUCCUAAACUUUGUCUAGGUCACACCCCACAAGGGUUGAGUUUUCCUGGGCCAUUAGCUCAGGUGGUUAGAGCGCACCCCUGAUAAGGGUGAGGUUCCUGGUUCAAGUCCAGGAUGGCCCAUUCGGUGUUGGGGGUUUAGCUCAGUUGGUAGAGCGCCUGCUUUGCAAGCAGGAUGUCAGGAGUUCGAGUCUCCUAACCUCCACUGACCGAACUUGAUUCCCAUCUCCAAUUUUUUUGGAGUUGAGCUCGAUUGGAGUGUGAUUUAGAUGUGUCCGCUGGAUGACCCCAGCUUCCUGUCAUUCCAAGUUUUAGGUUGAUGCCUUGAAUUUGGUUGAUAAGAUGCUGGGCUCGGAUCAAAUGAUCAAGCAAUUGAUGAUUUGAUUUGAAGUUCUAGCAGAACCUUGACAACUGCAUAGGUGAGUCUGGAAAAAACAAAGCAUCUUACAGAUGCAUUGUUUUGAAUCUAAUCUUCUGAAAGGGAGAUUAGAUCUAGAACAAUGAAAAUUCUUUUGAGCAAGAGCCGAGACUCUUGAGCGUUCUUUGUUCGUGUCGAGCGAAUCAGAGUUUGAUCUUGUUUUUAGCAAUAAAAACUUGAGAAUCUGCUUUCAACGGUGGUAAGCGUUUAGGAGGUUAAUUGGUCAAGCUACAAAGGGCUCACGGCGGAUACCUUGGCACACAGAGGCGAUGAAGG
Molecule: transfer RNA, 846 nt
Filed under: uncultured Synechococcus sp.
Lineage: Bacteria; Bacillati; Cyanobacteriota; Cyanophyceae; Synechococcales; Synechococcaceae
Description: partial contains 16S ribosomal RNA, 16S-23S ribosomal RNA intergenic spacer, and 23S ribosomal RNA
Rfam family: tRNA (bases 285-357)
Source: RNAcentral